AAACUCUUCUGAAAUGUGCAUGUACUUUGUGCCAGCCGUACUUUGAUUAAUGUCAUAAAGAUGGCAGCACGAUAAGUCAUGGUUAUUAUCAGCUCACUUGUUUUCUCAGUCUUCUCUGAAAUGUGCAAGUACUGUGAUUCAUGUCAUAAGGCUAGUAGAACGAUAAGUCAUGGUUAUUAUCAGCUGACAAGUUUUCUCAGCCGUAUUCCUCUGAAUUGUCCAAGUUCUGUGAUUAAUGUCAUAAGGCUAGUAGCACGAUAGAUUUUCUCAGUCGCAGGCUUAUGCAAAGUGCAAGUUCGAUUGGAAUCAGCGCAGCAAUUCAAGAUAUUGUUUAAUAAUGCUUUUGAUUUUGGUAUAGAUUUGUAUUGCC
This is a long non-coding RNA of Daphnia pulex (common water flea), 370 nucleotides long. RefSeq lists it as uncharacterized. NCBI's taxonomy places the organism in Eukaryota, Metazoa, Arthropoda, Branchiopoda, Diplostraca, Daphniidae. The record is from RefSeq and is a predicted model, not a curated record. The transcript is spliced from 4 exons.